UGGCCUGGGGAUUGAGAACCCCUGAUUUAUACCAUUUUAUAUGUAAUUUCUGUCCCUAGCCUUUAAGAUUUGAGAUUCUCUAUUAGCUUCUGCACUGUAGAAACAUUUUGUAGGCUUCAGGUUACUUUUUAGGAGUAGAUAAAGGAGGUAGUUUGUUGUGUUAGUCUGAAGUCAGGCUGAAGGUAGGGUAGGGUGGCACCUUUGAAACUGAUAUGUUUAGAGAGCUCCUUGAGCUUUUGUAGGCAACAGCCUACUACAUUAAAUGCUGUAAAUAGGAUACAAAAAGGAAGGAUUUAAUUGGAAAGAAAAAAGGGGAGGGGACAUUGCUGAAAGGAAAAAAGGUGGGUAGAUUUUAUCAACAGGGAUAAACAAGACAGUUAAAACACAUUCAGGGACAUUGGAAUUAACAGCUGGUCCAGAGAAUGGGAUAAGAAUCCAAAUUAUCUUGGAUGAUUUUGUGUUCCUCAAUUUUGUGUUCAAACUAGUUUUUAAAGUUUUGUCCUUUAAGAACAGCUACUCUGAAGUCAGUGAUGGAAGGUCCAGGGAUGUUAAAACAUCAUGCCACAAAGCCU
Molecule: long non-coding RNA, 572 nt
Organism: Gavialis gangeticus (Gharial)
Lineage: Eukaryota; Metazoa; Chordata; Crocodylia; Gavialidae
Exons: 3
Source: RefSeq, a predicted model, not a curated record